UACGAAGGGGGCUAGCGUUGCUCGGAAUCACUGGGCGUAAAGGGUGCGUAGGCGGGUCUUUAAGUCAGGGGUGAAAUCCUGGAGCUCAACUCCAGAACUGCCUUUGAUACUGAGGAUCUUGAGUUCGGGAGAGGUGAGUGGAACUGCGAGUGUAGAGGUGAAAUUCGUAGAUAUUCGGAAGAACACCAGUGGCGAAGGCGACUAACUGGACAUGUAUUGACGCUGAGGUACGAAAGCGUAGGGAGCAAACAGG
RNAcentral lists this ribosomal RNA (253 nucleotides) under uncultured bacterium. RNAcentral describes it as "partial 16S ribosomal RNA". It matches the Rfam family "Bacterial small subunit ribosomal RNA", at positions 524 to 776 of the family's 1533-position model. The record is from RNAcentral.